UACGAAGGGUGCGAGCGUUAAUCGGAAUUACUGGGCGUAAAGCGUGCGCAGGCGGUUUUGUAAGCCAGAUGUGAAAUCCCGGGGCUUAACCUGGGAAUGGCAUUUGGGACUGCAAGGCUGGAGUGUGGCAGAGGAGACUGGAAUUCCUGGUGUAGCAGUGAAAUGCGUAGAUAUCGUAAGGAAGACCAGUGGCGAAGGCGGGUCUCUGGACAGUUCCUGACGCUGAGGCACGAAGGCCAGGGGAGCAAACGGG
Molecule: ribosomal RNA, 253 nt
Filed under: uncultured bacterium
Lineage: Bacteria
Description: partial 16S ribosomal RNA
Rfam family: Bacterial small subunit ribosomal RNA
Source: RNAcentral